GUGGGUGUAGCUCAGUUGGCCAGAGCACCAGGUUGUGGCCCUGGGGGUCGUGGGUUCGAGUCCCAUCUCCCACCCCA
This 77-nucleotide transfer RNA is filed under the name Neomoorella glycerini. RNAcentral describes it as "Moorella glycerini tRNA-His". It matches the Rfam family "tRNA". Rfam says of the family: Transfer RNA (tRNA) molecules are approximately 80 nucleotides in length. Lineage: Bacteria; Bacillati; Bacillota; Clostridia; Neomoorellales; Neomoorellaceae. The record is from RNAcentral.